GUCGUGAGAUGUUGGGUUAAGUCCCGCAACGAGCGCAACCCUUGUCCCUAGUUACCAGCGGGUCAUGCCGGGAACUCUAGGGAGACUGCCGGUGUCAAACCGGAGGAAGGUAGGGACGACGUCAAGUCAUCAUGGCCCUUACGUCCAGGGCGACACACGUGCUACAAUGGCCGGUACAGAGCGUCGCGAGCUCGUAAGAGUAAGCUAAUCGCCAAAAGCCGGUCUAAGUUCGGAUUGUGGGCUGCAACCCGCCCACAUGAAGCUGGAAUCGCUAGUAAUCGUGGAUCAGCCAUGCCACGGUGAAUACGUUCCCGGGCCUUGUACACACCGCCCGUCACGCCAUGGAAGCUGGGGGGGCCUAAAGUCGGUGAGCUAACCGCAAGGAGGCAGCCGCCAAAGGUCAAUUCAGUGACUGGGGCGAAGUCGUAACAAGGUAGCCGUAGGGGAACCUGCGGCUGGAUCACCUCCUUUCUGGAGCAUCGAGUAGGGAUUCACUGAGGGAUUCACCUCGGGGGGUCGCGAAAGAUCUCUGGUAGUCGCCCGCACUUCUUCUCUCGUUUCUCCAUUACUGAUAUGCGCUCGGCCGGCGGGAUCGCGGUCGGGACCGUUCUUUGACAAUUGAAGGAUUGGGUGAAACCGCAAUUGCGUGGCAACACGUGAUUGCCGGGAUCAGCACCGAUAUUCAAAUGGUCGAGUCAACCAUCGCGGGUUGCUCGGUCAUUUCAAAGAUCGUUGGGAUCAAACAAAAUAAGGCACACGGUGAAUGCCUUGGCAUCGAGAGGCGAUGAAGGACGUGGUAAGCUGCGAAAAGCCUGGGGGAGCUGCACACAAGCUGUGAUCUCAGGAUGU
Molecule: small RNA, 849 nt
Filed under: uncultured Gemmatimonas sp.
Lineage: Bacteria; Pseudomonadati; Gemmatimonadota; Gemmatimonadia; Gemmatimonadales; Gemmatimonadaceae
Description: bacterial SSU rRNA
Rfam family: Bacterial small subunit ribosomal RNA (bases 1-471)
Source: RNAcentral